Molecule: non-coding RNA, 45 nt
Filed under: Schistosoma margrebowiei
Lineage: Eukaryota; Metazoa; Platyhelminthes; Trematoda; Strigeidida; Schistosomatidae
Source: RNAcentral
AUCCAUCUGACGAGUCCCAAAUGGGACGAAACAUGCGUCCUGGAU